Molecule: non-coding RNA, 1515 nt
Organism: Oncorhynchus mykiss (rainbow trout)
Lineage: Eukaryota; Metazoa; Chordata; Actinopteri; Salmoniformes; Salmonidae
Source: RefSeq, a predicted model, not a curated record
GACAGAGUAGAGUUGGUUCAGAGGAGAUGGAGGAGUUGGACAGGACAGAGAGAGAGAGUAGAGUUGAGUUCAGUGUACAACUGUUUUCUCUCACUGAUUCAUAGGUAAUCUCUUCUUUGUUUGCCGGUGGUUGUCAUGCUGAUGAGCUCCGUCGCAGGUUAAUAACUUCACAUUCUGUUCACUUCCUGGUUCGGAAAAGAGAGAUAGGAAGUGCAGGUGUAACGUACUUCAGACAGAGUCCUUCUUUCCAUGUACUGCAGUCAGGUCAUAGUUCUAUCUUGGUAUAUCUUGGUAUCCAGGGGUCAGGUGUUAGUUAUAUCUUUGUAUAUCUUGGUAUCCAGGGGUCAGGUAUUAGUUAUAUCUUGGUAUCCAGGGGUCAGGUAUUAGUUAUAUCUUGGUAUAUCUUGGUAUCCAGGGGUCAGGUAUUAGUUAUAUCUUGGUAUCCAGGGGUCAGGUGUUAGUUAUAUCUUGGUAACCAGGGGACAGGUAUUAGUUAUAUCUUGGUAUCCAGGGGUCAGGUGUUAGUUAUAUCUUGGUGUCCAGGGGUCAGGUGUUAGUUAUAUCUUGGUAUCCAGGGGUCAGGUGUUAGUUAUAUCUUGGUAUCCAGGGGUCAGGUAUUAGUUAUAUCUUGGUAUAUCUUGGUAUCCAGGGGUCAGCUGUUAGUUAUAUCUUGGUAUCCAGGGGUCAGGUAUUAGUUAUAUCUUGGUAUAUCUUGGUAACCAGGGGUCAGGUGUUAGUUAUAUCUUGGUAUCCAGGGGUCAGGUGUUAGUUAUAUCUUGGUAUAUCUUGGUAUCCAGGGGUCAGGUAUUAGUUAUAUCUUGGUAUCCAGGGGUCAGGUGUUAGUUAUAUCUUGGUAUCCAGGGGUCAGGUAUUAGUUAUAUCUUGGUAUCCAGGGGUCAGGUAUUAGUUAUAUCUUGGUAUCCAGGGGUCAGGUAUUAGUUAUAUCUUGGUAUCCAGUAGUCAGGUGUUAGUUAUAUCUUGGUAUCCAGGGGUCAGGUGUUAGUUAUAUCUUGGUAUAUCUUGGUAUCCAGGGGUCAGGUGUUAGUUAUAUCUUGGUAUAUCUUGGUAUCCAGGGGUCAGGUAUUAGUUAUAUCUUGGUAUAUCUUGGUAUCUAGGGGUCAGGUAUUAGAUACAUCUUGGUAUAUCUUGGUAUCCAGGGGUCAGGUAUUAGUUACAUCUUGGUAUAUCUUGGUAUCCAGGGGUCAGGUAUUAGUUAUAUCUUGGUAUCCAGGGGUCAGGUAUUAGUUAUAUCUUGGUAACCAGGGGUCAGGUAUUAGUUAUAUCUUGGUAUCCAGGGGUCAGGUGUUAGUUAUAUCUUGGUGUCCAGGGGUCAGGUGUUAGUUAUAUCUUGGUAUAUCUUGGUAUCCAGGGGUCAGGUAUUAGUUAUAUCUUGGUAUAUCUUGGUAUCCAGGGGUCAGGUGUUAGUUAUAUCUUGGUAUCCAGGGGUCAGGUGUUAGUUAUAUCUUGGUAUAUCUUGGUAUCCAGGGUUCAGGUAUUAGUUACAUCUUGGUAUAU